UACGUAGGAGGCAAGCGUUGUCCGGAUUUACUGGGUGUAAAGGGUCCGCAGGCGGGCAUCUUAGUUGGUGGUGAAAUCCUUCGGCUUAACCGAAGAACUGCCUCCAAUACUGGAUGCCUUGAAUACAGAAGAGGGUAGUGGAAUUCCAGGUGUAGCGGUGAAAUGCUUAGAUAUCUGGAAGAACACCAGUUGCGAAGGCUGCUGCCUGGUCUGUUAUUGACGCUCAUGGACGAAAGCGUGGGGAUCAAACAGG
RNAcentral lists this ribosomal RNA (253 nucleotides) under uncultured bacterium. Its description in RNAcentral is "partial 16S ribosomal RNA". It matches the Rfam family "Bacterial small subunit ribosomal RNA", at positions 524 to 776 of the family's 1533-position model. The record is from RNAcentral.